Molecule: ribosomal RNA, 253 nt
Filed under: uncultured bacterium
Lineage: Bacteria
Description: partial 16S ribosomal RNA
Rfam family: Bacterial small subunit ribosomal RNA
Source: RNAcentral
UACAGAGGGGGCAAGCGUUGUUCGGAAUUACUGGGCGUAAAGGGCGCGUAGGCGGCCUGCUAAGUCGAACGUGAAAUCCCCGAGCUCAACUCGGGAACUGCGUCCGAUACUGGCAGGCUUGAAUCCGGGAGAGGGAUGCGGAAUUCCAGGUGUAGCGGUGAAAUGCGUAGAUAUCUGGAGGAACACCGGUGGCGAAGGCGGCAUCCUGGACCGGUAUUGACGCUGAGGCGCGAAAGCCAGGGGAGCAAACGGG